UUCACUUUAUAUUGGUGGAAAAGUAAGUAAAUACAAUAUCUCACCAUUUAGGAAAAACCUAGAGAGAUAAUUAUUUUGAAGUGCAUCACUCAUAAGACUACUAGAUGUCUAUAGAUCGUUAGAUUUCUAACCUGUCGCAUCAGAUACUCUUGCGAAAUUUCUCCUGCCAAGAUCCUGACAACAAAUAAAUUAACAAGCAAUGCCAA
RNAcentral lists this long non-coding RNA (206 nucleotides) under Gossypium barbadense (sea-island cotton). RNAcentral's name for it is "long non-coding RNA (GBAR_LNC021875)". The record is from RNAcentral. Lineage: Eukaryota; Viridiplantae; Streptophyta; Magnoliopsida; Malvales; Malvaceae.